RNAcentral lists this ribosomal RNA (2915 nucleotides) under Vibrio parahaemolyticus. RNAcentral's name for it is "bacterial LSU rRNA". It matches the Rfam family "Bacterial large subunit ribosomal RNA". The record is from RNAcentral. Lineage: Bacteria; Pseudomonadati; Pseudomonadota; Gammaproteobacteria; Vibrionales; Vibrionaceae.
GUUGUAUGGUUAAGUGACUAAGCGUACACGGUGGAUGCCUUGGCAGUCAGAGGCGAUGAAGGACGUAUUAACUUGCGAUAAGCCCAGAUUAGGCAGUAAAAGCCACUUGAGUCUGGGAUUUCCGAAUGGGGAAACCCACUUGCAUAAGCAAGUAUCAUUAACUGAAUACAUAGGUUAAUGAGGCGAACCGGGGGAACUGAAACAUCUAAGUACCCCGAGGAAAAGAAAUCAACCGAGAUUCCGAAAGUAGCGGCGAGCGAAAUUGGACUAGCCCUUAAGCUUUACACGCGUUAGACGAACGGUCUGGAAAGUCCGACGAUACAGGGUGAUAGUCCCGUAGUUGACGACGUGUGUUCAGUGAAAUCGAGUAGGGCGGGACACGUGAUAUCCUGUCUGAAUAUGGGGGGACCAUCCUCCAAGGCUAAAUACUACUGACUGACCGAUAGUGAACCAGUACCGUGAGGGAAAGGCGAAAAGAACCCCUGUGAGGGGAGUGAAAUAGAACCUGAAACCGUGUACGUACAAGCAGUAGGAGCAGGCUUGUCCUGUGACUGCGUACCUUUUGUAUAAUGGGUCAGCGACUUAUAUUCAGUGGCAAGGUUAACCAUCUAGGGGAGCCGUAGGGAAACCGAGUCUUAACUGGGCGUUCAGUCUCUGGAUAUAGACCCGAAACCAGGUGAUCUAGCCAUGGGCAGGUUGAAGGUUGAGUAACAUCAACUGGAGGACCGAACCGACUAAUGUUGAAAAAUUAGCGGAUGACUUGUGGCUAGGGGUGAAAGGCCAAUCAAACCUGGAGAUAGCUGGUUCUCCCCGAAAGCUAUUUAGGUAGCGCCUCGGACGAAUACUACUGGGGGUAGAGCACUGUUAAGGCUAGGGGGUCAUCCCGACUUACCAACCCUUUGCAAACUCCGAAUACCAGUAAGUACUAUCCGGGAGACACACGGCGGGUGCUAACGUCCGUCGUGGAGAGGGAAACAACCCAGACCGCCAGCUAAGGUCCCAAAUUACUACUAAGUGGGAAACGAUGUGGGAAGGCUCAGACAGCCAGGAUGUUGGCUUAGAAGCAGCCAUCAUUUAAAGAAAGCGUAAUAGCUCACUGGUCGAGUCGGCCUGCGCGGAAGAUGUAACGGGGCUAAGUAGUAAACCGAAGCUGCGGCAAUGUGCUUUUGCACAUUGGGUAGGGGAGCGUUCUGUAAGCGGUUGAAGGUGUGUGGUAACGCAUGCUGGACGUAUCAGAAGUGCGAAUGCUGACAUGAGUAACGAUAAAGGGGGUGAAAAACCUCCUCGCCGGAAGACCAAGGGUUCCUGUCCAACGUUAAUCGGGGCAGGGUAAGUCGACCCCUAAGGCGAGGCCGAAAGGCGUAGUCGAUGGGAAACGGGUUAAUAUUCCCGUACUUCUUACAAUUGCGAUGGGGGGACGGAGAAGGCUAGGUGGGCCUGGCGACGGUUGUCCAGGUUCAAGUGCGUAGGCUUAAGAGUUAGGUAAAUCCGGCUCUUUCUAAGGCUGAGACACGACGUCGAGCACCUACGGGUGUGAAGUCAUUGAUGCCAUGCUUCCAGGAAAAGCCUCUAAGCUUCAGAUUGUAAGGAAUCGUACCCCAAACCGACACAGGUGGUCGGGUAGAGAAUACCAAGGCGCUUGAGAGAACUCGGGUGAAGGAACUAGGCAAAAUGGUACCGUAACUUCGGGAGAAGGUACGCUCUUGAUGGUGAAGUCCCUCGCGGAUGGAGCUGACGAGAGUCGCAGAUACCAGGUGGCUGCAACUGUUUAUUAAAAACACAGCACUGUGCAAAAUCGUAAGAUGACGUAUACGGUGUGACGCCUGCCCGGUGCCGGAAGGUUAAUUGAUGGGGUUAGACUUCGGUCGAAGCUCUUGAUCGAAGCCCCGGUAAACGGCGGCCGUAACUAUAACGGUCCUAAGGUAGCGAAAUUCCUUGUCGGGUAAGUUCCGACCUGCACGAAUGGCGUAAUGAUGGCCACGCUGUCUCCACCCGAGACUCAGUGAAAUUGAAAUCGCUGUGAAGAUGCAGUGUACCCGCGGCUAGACGGAAAGACCCCGUGAACCUUUACUACAGCUUGGCACUGAACAUUGACCCUACAUGUGUAGGAUAGGUGGGAGGCUUUGAAGCACGUACGCCAGUAUGUGUGGAGCCGUCCUUGAAAUACCACCCUUGUAGUGUUGAUGUUCUAACGUUGACCCCUUAUCGGGGUUGCGGACAGUGCCUGGUGGGUAGUUUGACUGGGGCGGUCUCCUCCCAAAGAGUAACGGAGGAGCACGAAGGUGGGCUAAUCACGGUUGGACAUCGUGAGGUUAGUGCAAUGGCAUAAGCCCGCUUGACUGCGAGAAUGACAAUUCGAGCAGGUGCGAAAGCAGGUCAUAGUGAUCCGGUGGUUCUGAAUGGAAGGGCCAUCGCUCAACGGAUAAAAGGUACUCCGGGGAUAACAGGCUGAUACCGCCCAAGAGUUCAUAUCGACGGCGGUGUUUGGCACCUCGAUGUCGGCUCAUCACAUCCUGGGGCUGAAGUCGGUCCCAAGGGUAUGGCUGUUCGCCAUUUAAAGUGGUACGCGAGCUGGGUUUAGAACGUCGUGAGACAGUUCGGUCCCUAUCUGCCGUGGGCGUUGGAAGAUUGAAGGGGGCUGCUCCUAGUACGAGAGGACCGGAGUGGACGAACCUCUGGUGUUCGGGUUGUGUCGCCAGACGCAUUGCCCGGUAGCUAAGUUCGGAAUCGAUAACCGCUGAAAGCAUCUAAGCGGGAAGCGAGCCCUGAGAUGAGUCUUCCCUGAUACUUUAAGUAUCCUAAAGGGUUGUCGGAGACUACGACGUUGAUAGGUCAGGUGUGUAAGUGCUGUGAGGCAUUGAGCUAACUGAUACUAAUUGCCCGUGAGGCUUAACCAUACAACACCCAAGGGGUUU